AACUUGUUGCCAAAUAUAAAAGGUUCCAAAAUGGCGGCAGAGUACGAUCCCUGUGCUCGUCCACUCUGUCCGUUCUAUUUCCUUUCUUCCCUCCUUUCUUUUUCUCUUUUUUUUCCCCUUCAUUCUUCUCAGGAUAUCCUGAACUCCCAGCCUCAGUGCAGACCCAGUGUGGUGGUGUCCUGGCAGCUCGGCUGGGUGGUCUCCUGAUCCAGUGUGGCCUCAGCGUGGAUUUCCAGCCUCAAUAGGACUCCAGAGCAAUCUCCCAGCCUUGAGGGACUCAAAGGGAAGCCCAACAAAGUCUGGGAGUCAAGGCCCAGCAGGAACUAGAGGAUAGCUACAUUUUCGCCCCUUUCUGGGUGGACAAGCAAACAAUUCUUCACUUGGGCUGCUUCAUGCAAAUUGAGGAGGAUUAAGGAAAGCUCACAUGUUGCUGAUAACGGAGGAGGAAAAGUUGGCCUCUCUUUAAAUUAUCUUUUGUUUUUUUUGUUUAAAUUUUUUAAGUUUAACUUAAUGAGAAUGGCGCCAAUGCAUGGUGACUGUAUGAACCGUACCCUGUAUUUUAUAUUGAAUACGCAUGACAAUAAAUGAUUCAAUUCAAUUCAAUUCA
Molecule: long non-coding RNA, 607 nt
Organism: Rhincodon typus (whale shark)
Lineage: Eukaryota; Metazoa; Chordata; Chondrichthyes; Orectolobiformes; Rhincodontidae
Exons: 2
Source: RefSeq, a predicted model, not a curated record